GUCCGCAUAGUUCAAUUGGUCAGAAUACCGGGACCUCACCCCGAAGACGCGAGUUCGAUCCUCGCUGCGGAUGCCA
RNAcentral lists this transfer RNA (76 nucleotides) under Sulfitobacter dubius. Its description in RNAcentral is "tRNA-Glu". It matches the Rfam family "tRNA". Rfam says of the family: Transfer RNA (tRNA) molecules are approximately 80 nucleotides in length. Their secondary structure includes four short double-helical elements and three loops (D, anti-codon, and T loops). Further hydrogen bonds mediate the characteristic L-shaped molecular structure. tRNAs have two regions of fundamental functional importance: the anti-codon, which is responsible for specific mRNA codon recognition, and the 3' end, to which the tRNAs corresponding amino acid is attached (by aminoacyl-tRNA synthetases). tRNAs cope with the degeneracy of the genetic code in two manners: having more than one tRNA (with a specific anti-codon) for a particular amino acid; and 'wobble' base-pairing, i.e. permitting non-standard base-pairing at the 3rd anti-codon position. Lineage: Bacteria; Pseudomonadati; Pseudomonadota; Alphaproteobacteria; Rhodobacterales; Roseobacteraceae. The record is from RNAcentral. RNAcentral also lists the same sequence under 3 other names.